Molecule: long non-coding RNA, 513 nt
Filed under: Elaeis guineensis (African oil palm)
Lineage: Eukaryota; Viridiplantae; Streptophyta; Magnoliopsida; Arecales; Arecaceae
Description: long non-coding RNA (EGUI_LNC021231)
Source: RNAcentral
GUGCAUAUGGGUACUUUGCUUGGUGUAACUCUCUAGUCAGUAAUCGUGAGAGGCAAGUUAUCAUAGGGCUACUAUGAAAGCUUAGAAAAAUGGAGACAGAACAUACAAUCGAAAGAAGAAGAGACAAUGCUUCAAACUAUGUUGUUUUCUUGUUGGGGCUUGUAUUGAUUUCUUUGUGUAUUUUGUGAUCUGUCUUCCUAUCUACUUAGUUUGAGCACAACAUUAUAGGGGAUUGUGAUGGCAACAAGCACCAAUAUUGGUCCAUGACUUAUGCCUUUUUUAUGUUUUUUUUUGAUAAAGUACCUUUUUUGUGUAGUUAAACCUAGUAAAACCUAGUUAAACAGUGGUUCAUCAAAAAGCCCCACUCAUGAAAAUACUGACCUCAAUAGAAAGGUCAAUAGUGGAGAUAAGAUCCUCAAAAUCCAAUCUUCGGAUUGCUAGAGCUUCAAGAGACACAAAUAGAGAUAAGAUCUCCUUAAAAUCCAAUCUCCAGAUUGGUAAAGCCUCGAAAGG